UAGGGAGGAAUUUAAACCUUCCCCCAACCUUUGUCCUGGAAUGCUGAGUUCUGCCCCAGGACUCGCAGGAGGCUGGGGCUGUCUGUGCAGAGGCCCUAACUCCUCUCCCGGCACUGCUGUUUAAGGAUGCUCCUUAAAGCGGGAAUUCUCUCGAGUGGAGGGGUCCAGCAGAAAAGCUUCUUUUAAUACAAUUUAGCAGCUGGAAACAAGGAAGAGAAACCAGCACCAUAUGACCAACCAGCUGUCCAGGGACUGCCAUCACUCUGUUCUCGGAGGGAAAGGAAGAGAAAAUGAAACCUACAGGAACUCUAAUUCUGAUUACAGGAACAUCAUGGAAAGUACAGAUUACAUUGGUCUACAGUUUUUGAGAAGUCGUCUGCUUCAGAGAUAAAAUGUGCUAUUUAUUAUGUAUUUUGAUGUGCUGAAUUCAAAUAUAACAAUUAAAACAACUGAUUGGC
This is a long non-coding RNA of Malaclemys terrapin pileata, 458 nucleotides long. RefSeq lists it as uncharacterized. The transcript is spliced from 3 exons. The record is from RefSeq and is a predicted model, not a curated record. NCBI's taxonomy places the organism in Eukaryota, Metazoa, Chordata, Testudines, Emydidae.